UACACCACAGCCCUUCUUCUUCCCGGAGAGAUACUAAUUCCUGUCGGCGCGACACACCGAGAACCAUGGUGGCUUUAUCGACCCCGACAGCAUGUCCUGAGAGAGCCAUGUUUCCGUGAAACAGAGUAUGUUACAAUCCCUGAUGUCUCUCUUGAAAGCAACACUUGCCCUAAUUUCGUCGACCUUGUUAUCUAAGGACUGGACAUUAGCGAGUAAUAUACUAGGAAGCGAUGGGUGGUGUACGCGCCUAUGAAGUCUGACAAGAAGACCGCUCCAUAUUCCUCUUCUCUGGCGACGUUGUUUUGGGUCGGCCUCUGGGAUCAGUUCAAAUGCCCUGGGUGGUGCGGACAAAGGAUCCACUUCGGGAAAGUCGUAUUCCUGGUCGUAGUGCUGGUAAGUUGAGGUCACUCUGAUAUCCAAUAGUUCUUCCCGGCUGUAUGUAAUAACAUUUAAGAUUUUCUGGGCUCACAAUGUAAGAAAUUAUACAUAAAAAAACGAAAUACUGCAAAGUUUCCUAAGGACUAAAAGUGAGGCAGCCAUCUCUGUCGGAGCCCUUCUCCACCGAUUGCUCAGUUUGGCCGAGCGGCCAGCAGUAGGAAGAGUCUUGGUGGUUGCAAACUUCUUCCAUUUAAUAAUGGAAGAAGUUUGUUCUUGGUGGCCUUCAAUGCUGCAUACAUCUUUUGGUUCCCUUCCCCAGAUCUGUGCCUCAACACAAUCCUGUCUCGGAGCUCUACGGACAAUUUCUUCGACCUCAUGGCUUGACUUUUGCACUGACAUGCUCUGUCAACUGUGGGACCUUAUAUAGACAGGUGUGUCCCCAAAAAUGUUCACUUUAUUUAACUAGGCAAGUCAGUUAAGAACACAUUCUUAUUUACAAUGACGGCCUUGUUUAGGGGCAGAACGACAGAUUUUUACCUUGUCAGCUCGGGGAUUCGAUCCAGCAACCUUUCAGUUACUGGCCCAACACUGUAACCACUAGGCUACCUGCUGCCCUACCAAAUCAUGUCCAAUUAAUUUAAUUUACCACAGGUGGACUCCAAUCAAGUUGUAGAAACAUCUAAAGGGUGAUCAAUGGAAACAGGAUGCACCUGAGCUCAAUUUCAAGUCUCAUAGCAAAGGGUCUGAAUACUUUUGUAAUUCAGGUAUUUCUGUUUUUUAUUUGCACUAAAUUUGCAAACAUUACUAAAACAUUUUUUCACUUUGUCAUUAAAAUAUAUGUAAAAAACCAAAAAUGUAGAAAAGUUACUUUUGUCCUCUGAAGAGGGGGGUGGAUGGGCCAAUAAAAUACAAAUAAAGAGUGUAAGUAGAGUUAGGUUGGUGAGUUUCCUUUUACACUGUAAUGAGCUUUGGGUGUCUAGAAAAGAGCCAUGUAAGUCCAAUUAUUAAAUGCUUUGCCAUCUUCCAUUGCUUGAAGACCAUGCCUUUGUACAGAGAUGGUAAUUGGUACAAAAUACCAACAAGGUGGACUGCAAGGCUAUGUUAAGUUAAAUAAAUCAAUGACUAUAGUAACUGCCUAGGUGCCAAAUCAAGUAACAGGUGUAAUGUAGUGAACAUUAUGCGAUAAUCCAGUCCGUGUAUUGGUACUGUGGGAUUCCAGUUCCAUGUUUUACAAUAGACAGACAGUGAGAGUUAUAUGCCAUGUGAACUAUGUAAUGCCAGCAUACUUAUGAGUAAAGUUAAACUAAAGUAUACGAAUGCCCCGACCUCAGUUCUUAUAAACAUAAGCAAAAUGAACAACUGUGAAUGUUACAAUUGGCGACGAGUGAAACGCACAAGAGAAGAAUGCAAUUUACAGGACGAACUACGUGCCUAUAACCCGGCUCGACGUGGAAAAAAAAUGGAUGAACAUAUUCAACAAUGUUCUAGUGGGAUUAGACAUCGCGGAUAACAGAAAGGACAAAGACAUUACUGUUACACUAUGCAGGGUCGGAUGUGUACGAUAUAUUUGACACACUGCAAGAUACCAGAGCAGCUGAUGACUAUGAUACAGCUCAAUGCAUAUUUAUGUCCAAAAGUCAACACAGAAUAUGAAACCUAUGUUUUCAGACAAGCAAGACAAAAUGAAAACGAAACCUUGGACGCUUACCACACAAGAUUGAGAUCUAGCAUCCACAUGCGAGUUUGCAAACGUUGAUAAAGAAAUAAAGCCACAGAUAAUAAUAAGCUGCAGUUCCGCGUUCCUCCGCUGGGUGGCGCUAAAGGGUGGUUCAAUGGCUCUCCAACAACUACUUGAUACAGGCAGUGCACAAGAUGUCGGAUAAACAAGCUGCAGGCAUGGAGAAUGUUCAAUCAAAAUCACAAAAAUUACUUUCAGUGUGCGCUGUACAAAAUAAAAAAAUAUAACAAAAGCCAGGGCUACAUAAAUGAAAGUGACAAACGUCAAAACAGAACAUGCAAUAACCGCAGAGGAAAAUUCCCACACGACAGAGGACAAACAAACUGCCCUGCAAGGUGAAACAAAAUGUAAAGGAUGUGGAAGUUGAAUCACUUUCUAAAAUGCUGUAGGUCACAAACCACAGAGUCCACUCCUCCAGUUGCUGAAAAACUAACCCAACGGCGUCCGAAACACAAAGUGCAUAAAGUGCAGUCACAUGAUGACAAUAAGACAAAAACACAAGACAUCUCGCCAAGCUCAUGAUAAUGCUUAUGUGUAUAAGAAAGAAACCGUCGCAACCACACAUCCAAGUUACCAUUAUGAAUACAACUGUGGAUGUUAUUAUUGAUUCGGGAGCAAGUGUUGACAUUGUUGAUGAUGUCACAUAUGACAAGUUAAUGCCCAGCUGUGAAUUAAAACAGGCCAAGGCAAACAUCUUUGCUUAUGGCCCAUCCGAACCACUUCCACUGAGAGGACAAUUCACAGCACCAGUCCGCUCUAAGACUAAGAUGGUAGAUACCACUUUCUAUGUAAUCCAAAGGUGACUCUGGCUCACUACUACAGACCUUGGACUUCUAAAAAUAAUCAACUCUCUAUCCACUCCAAGUGAACCAGCUGAUGGUUCAUUCAUAAGCCAGCUUACCAAUGAAUACCAGGACCUCUUCUAAGAUAUAGGAAAACUCAGACUUUCAAGUGAAGCUGCACAUUGAUGACACAGUGCAACCAGCAGUACAACCACACAGGAGGAUUCCUUUUCACAUGGGAGAAAAGGUUCAACAGCAGCUUGACACACUAAAAAUCCAAGUUACAUCCAGUCUCAAGGAACAUCACAAACCUUCACUACACAUACUGGCCUCUAGAGAUACACCAGACUGAACUUUGGCAUAAAUUCAGCUGCCGAUGUGUUUCAAAAUGCAAUACAGCAAGUGCUACAAAGCAUUCCCAACGUGAGAAACAUGAGUGAUGACAUCCUAGAUCUCAAGAUGAACACAACGCAAGUCUUAAAGCUGUGUUUCAGAGAUUGAGAGAGAAAAAUCUCACGCUGAACAAAGGAAAAUGUAAAUACAGCAAAACAACACUUGAGUUUUUAUGGCUAUGUUUUCUCAGAGCAAGGCAUUUCCCUCAGAUCCAAAGAAAAUCUAAGCCAUACAGAAUCUGCCAGCGCCUCGGAGGUUCGCAGUCCCCUGGGCAUGACACAAUAGUGCUCACGGUUCAUACCAGACUUUGCAACAACCGCACAGCCUCUUCGCGAGCUCCCAAGAAAAGAUCACACCUGGGGGGGACCACAGCAUCAGUCUGCGAUGAAAAAAAUUAAGAACACGUCUGAUGAAGCACACGACGACAGCCUACUUUGACCCAGCCAAGAGGUCGACACUGUUAGUUGACGACAGCCCAAUUGGUUUAGGUGCCAUACUAAGUCAGCACAACCCUACAAGUGACAAAGACGCCCAUAUCAUUGCAUAUGCCAGCCGAGCGCUCUCAGAGGUUGACCAGCGCUACUCACAAACCGAAAGAGAAGCUUUGGCGAUCAUCUGUUCAUGCGAAAACUUUCACUUGUUUCUCUACGGAGCUCACUUCACGGUCAUCACAGACCAUGUCAAGGCAUCCCAUCGCAAAGGAAACCCCACAAAGAACCUCUCACAUGGCAGAAAUAUGUGAAAGUUAUCAUUGACAACACAGUUCCCAAAGUGAUGACUUUAGAAGAGGUGCGAGAAGAAACAAAGAAAAGGCUCAGCUCUACAGAGGUGAUGCGCCUAUUGUCCACAGGAACCUGGAAAGAUUCACCACAUGACACACAAGAUGCUGAUUUCCAAACAUUAAAAGCACUCUUGCAUGAAACAUGAACUAACAAUCAAUACACAAGCAAAGGUCAUUCUGAGAGGAACACUGCUCGUUCUUCCAAUCUCUCUCCAAGAAAAAAACAAUCAACCUAGCUCACACAGGACAUCUUGGCAUUGUGAAAACAAAACAGCUACUGAGAGAGAAGGUUUGGUUUCCAGGUAUAGAUGACAUGGUGGAAAAAGCAAUUUCACACUGCAUUCCAUGUCAAGCUGCCACUGUAGAAAAUCAUAUGGAACUACUGUCUAUGUCGAAACUACCCAAAGGUCCAUGGCUAGAAGUAUCAGUAAGUUUCUGCAGUCCUUUCCUAUCGGGUGACUACCUACUUGUAGUUGUCGACGAAUACUCAAGGUGUCUGGAAAUUGAAAUCGUAAAGUCCACAUCUGCCACUUCUGUCAUUCCCAAACUUGACAAAGUUUUCUCCUCCUUUGGAGUACCUGCGAUUGUAAAAACGGACAAUGGACCUUCCUUCAAUAACACCUUACUGGCCGAGAGCUAAUGCCGAAGCAGAACGCUUCAUGCGAACACUCAAGAAAACUGUCACCGCCACAAAUUCUGUAGGAUAACCUUGGAAACAAAAUCUCUACAGUUUUCUGAGAAAUGACCACGCAACCCCUCACCGAACUACUCAACAAACCCCAGCAGAGCUGAUGUUUGGAAGAAAACUCUGCACUACACUUCCCACAAUGCCUCACUUUGCACCAAACACCAAGCAACGUGACACUGAUCAAUGUGCAAAGCAACGCAUGAAAGAGACUGCUGACUACAAAAACCGAGCACGACCGUCCACCCUCCAACGGGACAUUAAAACCUGUAAUAUCUUAUGUUUCACCGAGUCGUGGCUGAAUGACAACAUACCGCUGAUAUUACCCCAUUGAAGUAGACAUUUUCAAUGGUUAAGGUUUGGGUUAGGUAAGGGUUAAGGUUAGGCUUUAGGGUAGGACUGUCCCAAGGAUCCCGGAUAGCAAUAACCAUCCAAAAACUUCCGCUUUUGGUUCCUGCGCUGCGGUUCCUGCGCCCCAGCCGGCGACAGGUUCCCGCGCAUUAGCAGGAGUGACCAGUCCGCUCCUGAUCCCUGGGAUUGUCAUUUUUGUUGGUGUCCUGCGGCCGGAGCUGCGCGUCGGGGAGGGGUUACUGUCACGUGUGCUCCCUCUCCGGCCUCUAGGUCACCAGGCUGCUCAUUAUGGCGCACACCUGUCACCAUCGUUAGACUCACCUGGACUCCAUCAACUCCCUGAAUACCUUCCCUAUAUAUGUCACUCCCUUUGGUUCCCUCCCCAGGCGUUAAUGUUUCUGUUUCUUGUCUGUGUGCUGUUAGUGUUCCUUGUUUUGUAUUAUGUUGUGUUUAUUUAUUAAAACACUCACUCCCUG
Molecule: long non-coding RNA, 5584 nt
Filed under: Salmo salar (Atlantic salmon)
Lineage: Eukaryota; Metazoa; Chordata; Actinopteri; Salmoniformes; Salmonidae
Description: lncRNA (ENSSSAG00000084219.1)
Source: RNAcentral